CCUACGGGCGGCAGCAGUGGGGAAUAUUGGACAAUGAGCGAAAGCCUGAUCCAGCCAUGCCGCGUGUGUGAAGAAGGCCUUCGGGUUGUAAAGCACUUUCAGUGGGGAAGAAAGCCUUGGGGCUAAUACCCUCGAGGAAGGACAUCACCCACAGAAGAAGCACCGGCUAACUCCGUGCCAGCAGCCGCGGUAAUACGGAGGGUGCGAGCGUUAAUCGGAAUUACUGGGCGUAAAGCGCGCGUAGGCGGUCUGAUAAGCCGGUUGUGAAAGCCCCGGGCUCAACCUGGGAACGGCAUCCGGAACUGUCAGGCUAGAGUGCAGGAGAGGAAGGUAGAAUUCCCGGUGUAGCGGUGAAAUGCGUAGAGAUCGGGAGGAAUACCAGUGGCGAAGGCGGCCUUCUGGACUGACACUGACGCUGAGGUGCGAAAGCGUGGGUAGCAAACAGGAUUAGAUACCCUAGUAGUC
RNAcentral lists this ribosomal RNA (465 nucleotides) under Vreelandella stevensii. RNAcentral describes it as "partial 16S ribosomal RNA". It matches the Rfam family "Bacterial small subunit ribosomal RNA", at positions 338 to 795 of the family's 1533-position model. Lineage: Bacteria; Pseudomonadati; Pseudomonadota; Gammaproteobacteria; Oceanospirillales; Halomonadaceae. The record is from RNAcentral.